This is a non-coding RNA of Paramuricea clavata, 370 nucleotides long. The record is from the annotation of a GenBank genome assembly. Lineage: Eukaryota; Metazoa; Cnidaria; Anthozoa; Malacalcyonacea; Plexauridae.
UCCUGGAAGCGGUGCUGCUGGCGCUGCCGGACAUUUUCCACCACUGAUCCAAACCAAAGCCAGCAUUGUAUAAACCACGUAAAUUUGUAUAUUCUCGCAGGCGAUAUUUAAUGGGAUUCAGAGCGUGAAGACAAUUGUUCGCGAGGAAGGGAUUCUAGGAUUUUACGGACCACUUAUUGAGAACUUCACUUGUGAUAAGAGAUUUUAUACUGCAGUUGAAGUAACGGCUGGUAACAAGUAAGUGUCUUUGCUAUAUACCAGGUCUAGAAAAUAAUUAUGAUUAUGAUUAUUCAGCUCAUUCGCUUUUCAGUGACCGAUUACAUCAAGCAUUAUUACGCUUACUUAUGUUACCUACCAGGUAAGCUUAGAC